GGUUGGUCCGAGUGCAGUGGUGUUUACAACUAAUUGAUCACAAACAGUUACAGAUUCCUUUGUUCCUUCUCCACUCCCACUGCUCCACUUGACCAGCCUUUA
RNAcentral lists this Y RNA (102 nucleotides) under Microcebus murinus (gray mouse lemur). RNAcentral's name for it is "Y RNA (ENSMICG00000044201.1)". It matches the Rfam family "Y RNA". Rfam says of the family: Y RNAs are components of the Ro ribonucleoprotein particle (Ro RNP), in association with Ro60 and La proteins. The Y RNAs and Ro60 and La proteins are well conserved, but the function of the Ro RNP is not known. In humans the RNA component can be one of four small RNAs -- hY1, hY3, hY4 and hY5. The record is from Rfam by way of RNAcentral. Lineage: Eukaryota; Metazoa; Chordata; Mammalia; Primates; Cheirogaleidae.